This 637-nucleotide ribosomal RNA is filed under the name uncultured bacterium. RNAcentral describes it as "bacterial SSU rRNA". It matches the Rfam family "Bacterial small subunit ribosomal RNA", at positions 126 to 766 of the family's 1533-position model. The record is from RNAcentral.
CUGCCCAUCAGACGGGGACAACGAUUGGAAACGAUCGCUAAUACCGGAUAGGACGAAAGUUUAAAGAUGCUCCUAGCAUCACUGAUGGAUGAGCCUGCGGCGCAUUAGCUAGUUGGUGGGGUAAAGGCCUACCAAGGCGACGAUGCGUAGCCGACCUGAGAGGGUGAACGGCCACACUGGGACUGAGACACGGCCCAGACUCCUACGGGAGGCAGCAGUAGGGAAUCUUCGGCAAUGGGCGAAAGCCUGACCGAGCAACGCCGCGUGAAUGAAGAAGGCCUUCGGGUUGUAAAAUUCUGUUAUAAGGGAAGAAAGGUGAUGGGAGGAAAUGACUAUCAAUUGACGGUACCUUAUGAGAAAGCCACGGCUAACUACGUGCCAGCAGCCGCGGUAAUACGUAGGUGGCAAGCGUUAUCCGGAAUUAUUGGGCGUAAAGAGCGCGCAGGUGGUUAAUUAAGUCUGAUGUGAAAGCCCACGGCUUAACCGUGGAGGGUCAUUGGAAACUGGUUGACUUGAGUGCAGAAGAGGGGAGUGGAAUUCCAUGUGUAGCGGUGAAAUGCGUAGAGAUAUGGAGGAACACCAGUGGCGAAGGCGGCUUCCUGGUCUGCAACUGACACUGAGGCGCGAAAGCGUGGGG